GGGGUUGUGGCUCAGUGGUAGAGUGCUUGCCUAGCACACAUGAGGCCCUGGGUUCAAUCCUCAGCACCA
This 69-nucleotide transfer RNA is filed under the name Marmota marmota marmota (Alpine marmot). It matches the Rfam family "tRNA". Rfam says of the family: Transfer RNA (tRNA) molecules are approximately 80 nucleotides in length. The record is from Rfam by way of RNAcentral. RNAcentral also lists the same sequence under 2 other names. Lineage: Eukaryota; Metazoa; Chordata; Mammalia; Rodentia; Sciuridae.